This 705-nucleotide ribosomal RNA is filed under the name uncultured Thermoprotei archaeon. RNAcentral's name for it is "bacterial SSU rRNA". It matches the Rfam family "Archaeal small subunit ribosomal RNA", at positions 322 to 1027 of the family's 1478-position model. The record is from RNAcentral. Lineage: Archaea; Thermoproteati; Thermoproteota; Thermoprotei.
CCUACGGGGCGCACCAGGCGCGAAACCUUCGCAAUGUGCGAAAGCACGACGAGGUUAUUCCGAGUGAUUUCCGCUGAGGAAAUCUUUUCUCAGAUCUAAAAAGUCUGGGGAAUAAGGGGAGGGCAAGUCUGGUGUCAGCCGCCGCGGUAAUACCAGCUCCUCGAGUGGUCAGGGCGUUUAUUGGGCCUAAAGCAUCCGUAGCCGGCUCAGUUGGUCUCCUGUUAAAUCCAGCGGCUCAACCGUUGGUCUGCAGGAGAUACCGCUGGGCUAGGAGGCGGGAGAGGCGGACGGUACUCCGAGGGUAGGGGUAAAAUCCUUUGAUCCCCGGAAGACCACCAGUGGCGAAGGCGGUCCGCCAGAACGCGCUCGACGGUGAGGGAUGAAAGCUGGGGGAGCGAACCGGAUUAGAUACCCGGGUAGUCCCAGCCGUAAACGAUGCGAGCUAGGUGACACAACGCCUUCGGGGCGUUGUGGUGCCGCAGGGAAGCCGUUAAGCUCGCCGCCUGGGGAGUACGGACGCAAGUCUGAAACUUAAAGGAAUUGGCGGGGGAGCACCACAAGGGGUGAAGCCUGCGGUUCAAUUGGAGUUAACGCCGGGAAUCUUACCGGGAGCGACAGCAGAUUGUAGGUCAAGCUGAAGACUUUUACCAGACGAGCUGAGAGGAGGUGCAUGGCCGUCGCCAGCUCGUGUCGUGAGGGCGUUCU